RNAcentral lists this long non-coding RNA (224 nucleotides) under Elaeis guineensis (African oil palm). RNAcentral's name for it is "long non-coding RNA (EGUI_LNC076986)". Lineage: Eukaryota; Viridiplantae; Streptophyta; Magnoliopsida; Arecales; Arecaceae. The record is from RNAcentral.
ACGGCGAGAUGAUCUUUUCGGGAUGCUAGCUCCCUUGCAAAGAUCUCGUCUUUGAUGGUUGAUCUAGUUCUCUUUUAGAUCUCAUAGACUCUUGAGAACUAAGAAGAAUGAGGACAAAGAACAGGAGGAAGAAGGCUAGGCAUGAGAGCAGAAUUUUUCCUCUCAAUUUUUCUCUUUUUCUCACACUAUAGGCGUCCAACUUUUGGACCCUAUUUAUAAGGAGG